AACGGGGGAUGCAAGUGUUAUCCGGAAUUAUUGGGCGUAAAGCGUUUGUAGGUUGUUUAUUUAGUCCUAUGUGAAAUAUUGAAGCUCAACUUCAAAAAAAUAUUGGAAACCCCUAAACUAGAGUAUGUUAUAGGUAAAUGGAAUUUUUAGUGAAGCGGUAAAAUGCGUAGAUAUUAAAAAGAACAUCAAAGGCGAAAGCAAUUUACUAGAACAUUACUAACACUCAGAGACGAAAGCCAGGGUAUCAAAUGGG
Molecule: ribosomal RNA, 253 nt
Filed under: uncultured bacterium
Lineage: Bacteria
Description: partial 16S ribosomal RNA
Rfam family: Bacterial small subunit ribosomal RNA
Source: RNAcentral